UAGGGUUUUGAUUAUGGCUCAGAUUGAACGCUGGCGGCAGGCCUUACACAUGCAAGUCGAGCGAGAAAUUUUCUUCGGAAAAGAGUAAAGCGGCGGACGGGUGAGUAACGCGUAGGAAUCUACCUAGUAGUGGGGGACAACAUGUGGAAACGCAUGCUAAUACCGCAUACGCCCUAUGGGGGAAAGCAGGGGAUCUUCGGACCUUGUGCUAUUAGAUGAGCCUGCGUCGGAUUAGUUUGUUGGUAGGGUAAUGGCCUACCAAGACUACGAUCCGUAGCUGGUCUGAGAGGAUGAUCAGCCACACUGGGACUGAGACACGGCCCAGACUCCUACGGGAGGCAGCAGUGGGGAAUAUUGGACAAUGGGCGCAAGCCUGAUCCAGCCAUGCCGCGUGUGUGAAGAAGGCUCUAGGGUUGUAAAGCACUUUCAGUAGGGAGGAAAAGUUAGUAGUUAAUAACUGCUAGCCCUGACGUACCUACAGA
RNAcentral lists this ribosomal RNA (482 nucleotides) under OMG group bacterium enrichment culture clone NPHTC-027. Its description in RNAcentral is "bacterial SSU rRNA". It matches the Rfam family "Bacterial small subunit ribosomal RNA", at positions 1 to 485 of the family's 1533-position model. Lineage: Bacteria; Pseudomonadati; Pseudomonadota; Gammaproteobacteria. The record is from RNAcentral.